Molecule: transfer RNA, 81 nt
Filed under: Puniceicoccales bacterium
Lineage: Bacteria; Pseudomonadati; Verrucomicrobiota; Opitutia; Puniceicoccales
Description: tRNA-Leu
Rfam family: tRNA
About the family: Transfer RNA (tRNA) molecules are approximately 80 nucleotides in length. Their secondary structure includes four short double-helical elements and three loops (D, anti-codon, and T loops).
Source: RNAcentral
GCUCGGGUGGUGAAAUGGUAGACACGCUGGAUUUAGGUUCCAGUGCCGAGAGGUGUGCGGGUUCAAGUCCCGCCCCGAGCA